CCAAGGCAUUCCAAGGACGGAGGGCUGGGCUUGGGAGGAGAGGCAGGCAGGGUCGUGAGCUCCCCACUGUGCCUGUGAUUGGAGGAAAGGCUGAACGAUCUCAGCUUUACUCUCUCGGACCCGAGAUCUCUCUGCCUUCCUCCCUCACAGCUGAGAUCUCUCUGCCUUCUCUUGUACUUGAGAUCUCUGCCUUCUGGACGCCAAUUCUAUAGGUGCAGAUCCCAGGUCACCCUCCUGUCCUGGAAGACCUUUGCCCCUCUGAGAUCCUUCAGCCUGCAGAGGACCUGGCCCAAGCUUGGAGCCUGGAGCCAGAGGGAAUGGCCCCUGGGAGCUGCAGACCCCCAGCCCAGG
Trichosurus vulpecula (common brushtail) is the source of this 351-nucleotide long non-coding RNA. RefSeq lists it as uncharacterized. The record is from RefSeq and is a predicted model, not a curated record. NCBI's taxonomy places the organism in Eukaryota, Metazoa, Chordata, Mammalia, Diprotodontia, Phalangeridae. The transcript has 3 exons.